UCCUGGAACACACAGACACUCAGCGUAUGAAAUGGCUGGACCUGGAACAUCUGCUGAUGUCUCUCCGGGUCCUAGAGAAAGACCCAAGUCCCACUGUCCAGCUGGUGGCAACUGAGCUCAUAAGUGACAUCUGUCCUGGCCGAGCGCUUGGCGAAUGAAGCAGAACGGAGACAAACAGAACAAGGCGCUCCAGUGGAACUCCUCUCACCACCCUUUACCAGUUGCGAUGGGUUUCAGCUGCAGAGGACUGCCCCAAGAGGAGAGUUGACCAAAACAAGGUAGGUUCUC
Molecule: long non-coding RNA, 288 nt
Organism: Mauremys reevesii (Reeves's turtle)
Lineage: Eukaryota; Metazoa; Chordata; Testudines; Geoemydidae
Exons: 3
Source: RefSeq, a predicted model, not a curated record